Molecule: ribosomal RNA, 396 nt
Filed under: uncultured Enterobacter sp.
Lineage: Bacteria; Pseudomonadati; Pseudomonadota; Gammaproteobacteria; Enterobacterales; Enterobacteriaceae
Description: bacterial SSU rRNA
Rfam family: Bacterial small subunit ribosomal RNA
Source: RNAcentral
CAUGCAAGUCGAGCGGCAGCGGAAAGCAGCUUGCUACUUUGCCGGCGAGCGGCGGACGGGUGAGUAAUGUCUGGGAAACUGCCUGAUGGAGGGGGAUAACUACUGGAAACGGUAGCUAAUACCGCAUAACGUCGCAAGACCAAAGAGGGGGACCUUCGGGCCUCUUGCCAUCAGAUGUGCCCAGAUGGGAUUAGCUAGUUGGUGGGGUAAUGGCUCACCAAGGCGACGAUCCGUAACUGGUCUGAGAGGAUGAUCAGUCACACUGGAACUGAGACACGGUCCAGACUCCUACGGGAGGCAGCAGUGGGGAAUAUUGGACAAUGGGCGAAAGCCUGAUCCAGCCAUGCCGCGUGUGUGAAGAAGGUCUUCGGAUUGUAAAGCACUUUAAGUUGGGAG